UACGAAGGGUGCAAGCGUUGUCCGGAUUUACUGGGCGUAAAGCGCACGUAGGCGGAUCGUUAAGUCAGGGGUGAAAUCCUGGAGCUCAACUCCAGAACUGCCUUUGAUACUGAAGAUCUUGAGUCCGGGAGAGGUGAGUGGAACUGCGAGUGUAGAGGUGAAAUUCGUAGAUAUUCGCAAGAACACCAGUGGCGAAGGCGGCUCACUGGCCCGGUACUGACGCUGAGGCACGAAAGCGUGGGGGAGCAAACAGG
Molecule: ribosomal RNA, 254 nt
Filed under: uncultured bacterium
Lineage: Bacteria
Description: partial 16S ribosomal RNA
Rfam family: Bacterial small subunit ribosomal RNA
Source: RNAcentral